UGCAAAAGAAGUAGGUAGCUUAACCUUCGGGAGGGCGCUUACCACUUUGUGAUUCAUGACUGGGGUGAAGUCGUAACAAGGUAACCGUAGGGGAACCUGCGGUUGGAUCACCUCCUUACCUUAAAGAAGC
This 130-nucleotide ribosomal RNA is filed under the name Escherichia coli. Its description in RNAcentral is "partial 16S ribosomal RNA". It matches the Rfam family "Bacterial small subunit ribosomal RNA", at positions 1416 to 1533 of the family's 1533-position model. RNAcentral also lists the same sequence under 9 other names. Lineage: Bacteria; Pseudomonadati; Pseudomonadota; Gammaproteobacteria; Enterobacterales; Enterobacteriaceae. The record is from RNAcentral.